UACGAAGGGUGCAAGCGUUACUCGGAAUUACUGGGCGUAAAGCGUGCGUAGGCGGUCUGUUAAGUCCGUUGUGAAAUCCCUGGGCUCAACCCAGGAACUGCGUCCGAUACUGGUUGGCUUGAAUCCGGGAGAGGGACGUGGAAUUCCAGGUGUAGCGGUGAAAUGCGUAGAUAUCUGGAGGAACACCGGUGGCGAAGGCGACGUCCUGGACCGGCAUUGACGCUGAGGCGCGAAAGCCAGGGGAGCAAACGGG
Molecule: ribosomal RNA, 253 nt
Filed under: uncultured bacterium
Lineage: Bacteria
Description: partial 16S ribosomal RNA
Rfam family: Bacterial small subunit ribosomal RNA
Source: RNAcentral